UCUGCUUGAAUAUGCUGUUGGUCAAAUGC
This 29-nucleotide small RNA is filed under the name Bombyx mori (domestic silkworm). RNAcentral describes it as "ovarian small RNA-7786". The record is from RNAcentral. Lineage: Eukaryota; Metazoa; Arthropoda; Insecta; Lepidoptera; Bombycidae.